GUCUAUGGCCAUGCCACCCUGAACACACCCGAUCCUGUCUGAUCUUGGAAGCUAAGCAGGGUCGGGCCUGGUUAGUACUUGGAUGGGAGACCACCCGGGAAGACCAGGUGCUGUAGGUG
Molecule: ribosomal RNA, 119 nt
Filed under: Pteropus alecto (black flying fox)
Lineage: Eukaryota; Metazoa; Chordata; Mammalia; Chiroptera; Pteropodidae
Source: RNAcentral